RNAcentral lists this transfer RNA (75 nucleotides) under Camelus dromedarius (Arabian camel). It matches the Rfam family "tRNA". Rfam says of the family: Transfer RNA (tRNA) molecules are approximately 80 nucleotides in length. Their secondary structure includes four short double-helical elements and three loops (D, anti-codon, and T loops). RNAcentral also lists the same sequence under 1 other name. The record is from Rfam by way of RNAcentral. Lineage: Eukaryota; Metazoa; Chordata; Mammalia; Artiodactyla; Camelidae.
GAGGGUAUAGCUUGGUGGUAGAGUGCCUGCUUAGCAGCAUGCACAAGGUCCUGGGUUCAAUUCCUAGCAUCCCCA